CGUCUAGUUUAGCACCUAAACGGCGAAACUGCGAAUGGCUCAUUAAAUCAGUUAUCGUAUAUUUGAUAGUACCUACUACAUGGAUAACCGUGGUAAUUCUAGAGCUAAUACAUGCUUAAAACCCCGACUUCGGAAGGGGUGUAUUUAUUAGAUUAAAAACCAAUGCCCUUCGGGGCUCACUGGUGAUUCAUAAUAACUUCUCGAAUCGCAUGGCCUUGUGCCGGCGAUGGUUCAUUCAAAUUUCUGCCCUAUCAACUUUCGACGGCUGGGUCUUGGCCAGCCGUGGUUACAACGGGUAACGGAGGGUUAGGGCUUGACCCCGGAGAAGGAGCCUGAGAAACGGCUACUACAUCCAAGGAAGGCAGCAGGCGCGCAAAUUACCCAAUCCCAAUACGGGGAGGUAGUGACAAUAAAUACUGAUACAGGGCUCUUUUGGGUCUUGUAAUUGGAAUGAGUACAAUUUAAAUCCCUUAACGAGGAACAAUUGGAGGGCAAGUCUGGUGCCAGCAGCCGCGGUAAUUCCAGCUCCAAUAGCGUAUAUUAAAGUUGUUGCAGUUAAAAAGCUCGUAGUUGAACCUUGGGCCUGGCUGGCCGGUCUGCCUCACCGCAUGCACUGGUCCGGCCGGGCCUUUCCCUCUGGGGAGCCGCAUGCCCUUCACUGGGUGUGUCGGGGAACCAGGACUUUUACUGUGAAAAAAUUAGAGUGUUCAAAGCAGGCAUAUGCUCGAAUACAUUAGCAUGGAAUAAUAGAAUAGGAACGUCGCGGUUCUAUUUUGUUGGUUUCUAGGACCGCCGUAAUGAUUAAUAGGGACAGUCGGGGGCAUCAGUAUUCAAUCGUCAGAGGUGAAAUUCUUGGAUCGAUUGAAGACUAACUACUGCGAAAGCAUUUGCCAAGGAUGUUUUCAUUAAUCAGGAACGAAAGUUAGGGGAUCGAAAACGAUCAGAAUACCGUUGUAGUCUUAACCAUAAACUAUGCCGACAAGGGGAUCGGGCCGGGGUAAUUUCUUGACCCGCUCGGACCUUACCCAAAAGUAAAGUUUUGGGUUCCGGGGGGGAGUAGGGCCCAAGGC
This 1070-nucleotide ribosomal RNA is filed under the name Diaporthe amygdali. RNAcentral's name for it is "SSU rRNA". It matches the Rfam family "Eukaryotic small subunit ribosomal RNA", at positions 56 to 1137 of the family's 1831-position model. Lineage: Eukaryota; Fungi; Ascomycota; Sordariomycetes; Diaporthales; Diaporthaceae. The record is from RNAcentral.